Small nucleolar RNA from Neogale vison (American mink), 64 nucleotides. RefSeq annotates it as small nucleolar RNA U2-19. Lineage: Eukaryota; Metazoa; Chordata; Mammalia; Carnivora; Mustelidae. The transcript has a single exon. The record is from RefSeq and is a predicted model, not a curated record.
GAUUAAUGAUGAAAAUAGCCAAAUCUGAGCAUCAGAAGACCUUCCAGUUUCAAUAGUUUUGAGA